GCGCUCAAAGGUUCCCUCAGAAUGGUUGGAAAUCAUUCAUAGAGUGUAAAGGCAUAAGGGAGCUUGACUGCGAGACCUACAAGUCGAGCAGGGUCGAAAGACGGACUUAGUGAUCCGGUGGUUCCGCAUGGAAGGGCCAUCGCUCAACGGAUAAAAGCUACCCCGGGGAUAACAGGCUUAUCUCCCCCAAGAGUUCACAUCGACGGGGAGGUUUGGCACCUCGAUGUCGGCUCAUCGCAUCCUGGGGCUGUAGUCGGUCCCAAGGGUUGGGCUGUUCGCCCAUUAAAGCGGUACGCGAGCUGGGUUCAGAACGUCGUGAGACAGUUCGGUCCCUAUCCGUCGUGGGCGUAGGAAAUUUGAGAGGAGCUGUCCUUAGUACGAGAGGACCGGGAUGGACAUACCUCUGGUGUACCAGUUGUCGUGCCAACGGCAUAGCUGGGUAGCUAUGUGUGGACGGGAUAAGUGCUGAAAGCAUCUAAGCAUGAAGCCCCCCUCAAGAUGAGAUUUCCCAACUUCGGUUAUAAGAUCCCUCAAAGAUGAUGAGGUUAAUAGGUUCGAGGUGGAAGCAUGGUGACAUGUGGAGCUGACGAAUACUAAUCGAUCGAAGACUUAAUCAA
RNAcentral lists this ribosomal RNA (617 nucleotides) under Staphylococcus aureus. Its description in RNAcentral is "partial 23S ribosomal RNA". It matches the Rfam family "Bacterial large subunit ribosomal RNA", at positions 2306 to 2925 of the family's 2925-position model. The record is from RNAcentral. Lineage: Bacteria; Bacillati; Bacillota; Bacilli; Caryophanales; Staphylococcaceae.